This is a non-coding RNA of Picea glauca (white spruce), 121 nucleotides long. The record is from Rfam. Lineage: Eukaryota; Viridiplantae; Streptophyta; Pinopsida; Pinales; Pinaceae.
ACAUGCCUACAACAUAGUGUUAAUGCAUCAAAGCCCAUUAGAACUUCGUAAUUAAGCACACUCAGGCUAGAGUAGUACUGGGAUGAGUGACCGCUCGAGAAGUCCUAGUGUUUUACAUGCC